AGCGAACGCUAGCGGCGGGCUUAACACAUGCAAGUCGAGCGGAGAGCUUCGGCUCUCAGCGGCGAACGGGUGAGUAACACGUAGGUCACGUACCCUUUGAUGGGGAAUAACCUAGGGAAACCUGGGCUAAUACCGCAUAUGUCCUUCGGGAUGAAAGCCUUCGGGCGUCAGAGGAUCGGCCUGCGGCCCAUUAUUUAAUCCUAGUUGGUAGGGUAAUGGCCUACCAAGGGUACGAUGGGUAGCUGGUCUGAGAGGAUGAUCAGCCACACUGGAACUGAGACACGGUUCAGACUCCUACGGGAGGCAGCAGUGGGGAAUAUUGGACAAUGGGCGAAAGCCUGAUCCAGCCACGCCGCGUGGGUGAUGAAGGCCUUCGGGUUGUAAAGCCCCUGUCGGGAGGGACGAAUCAAUGACGGUACCUCCCAAGAAAGCACCGGCUAACUCCGUG
Molecule: ribosomal RNA, 448 nt
Filed under: uncultured bacterium
Lineage: Bacteria
Description: bacterial SSU rRNA
Rfam family: Bacterial small subunit ribosomal RNA
Source: RNAcentral